Molecule: long non-coding RNA, 697 nt
Filed under: Brassica napus (rape)
Lineage: Eukaryota; Viridiplantae; Streptophyta; Magnoliopsida; Brassicales; Brassicaceae
Description: long non-coding RNA (BNAP_LNC017942)
Source: RNAcentral
AGACAACAAACCAAACUCAUAAACACUAUAAUCAGACAAAAAACAAAACCAUUGUUUCUCCUUCUUUCUUCUCCAAUGAUAUCGAUGUCUGAAGAAAACCACUAAAUGUCAAAAAUACAAAACCUCCAACCUCCUUCCACUAAAACUCUCUCUCUAUAUAGUAAUCUUUUAAUCCCGUUUCUGUGCAAUGGAGAAACCACCGGAAAAAGUGAACAAGGGGUUUUGGAGGCCCAAAGACCAAACCGGUCUCAAAAUCGAUCAGAGCCCGUCCGGAGGAUCACUCCUUUCCUGAAGAAAUGCUCAAAGAUUCAGUGGUGGAGCUCCCAGUUUACAUGGCGCCGUCGUCCUCCUCGAGUACCUCGCUGCUGAAGUAAGUAUCUCGAUUCAGAUCUGAUUUUUGAUUAGCCAAAAUCAUUGUCUGAUUUCUAAGAUUUGUGGUGAUUCAGGUGUUAGAGAGCUUGCUGCCAGAGACAACAAGAAGUCCGACGAUCGUUCCCCAGCCCAUCUUCUUCGUUUGCUGAUUGGGAACUAUCAACCUUUUACCAAAUUUUUCUUUUAUUUUUGUCAAACUUUUUUUAGAGUAAUUUUAUAUUAUUAUUAUAUAUAUAUUUAGAUAGGGGGAGAGUGAGAGAGAGUGGAGAGAGAGUGGGAAGAGAGAGAGAGAGAGAGUGGGAAGAGAGAGGGGGAUAGCCAGCCC